CGGCGAACGGGUGAGUAACGCGUGGAUAACCUGCCCUGAGGUGGGGGAUAACCAAGGGAAACUUUGGCUAAUACCGCAUGAUACCGAGAGGUCAAAGGGGGCUCGCAAGAGCUCUCGCCAUAGGAGGGGUCCGCGUCCGAUUAGCUAGUUGGUAGGGUAAUGGCCUACCAAGGCGACGAUCGGUAGCCGGCCUGAGAGGGUGAUCGGCCACACUGGAACUGAGACACGGUCCAG
Molecule: ribosomal RNA, 234 nt
Filed under: uncultured bacterium
Lineage: Bacteria
Description: partial 16S ribosomal RNA
Rfam family: Bacterial small subunit ribosomal RNA
Source: RNAcentral